GGGGAGUAGCCAAAUGUGAGACUGGAGAAGGUAACAGAUCAGGAGGUCUUAGGGACCACACAGCAGAAAAUUGGAGGCAGAAUGACCAUAUUUUACAGAUUGGUUUGCGCCUUCGUGCCCUCAUGCCUUUACUCAGACCAUUCUCGCUCCUGGAAAUGCACUCUGGAAGUGAAGGCUGACAACAUCCUGCUGAAUUUUCAGGGCUCAGUUCAGGGUUUUCCUUCAGAGUACGGGAAGAAGAAGCACUUCCUUCCACCACUCUCCUGGAACAUGCUGUAUCUACUUCUUUAAUAGGACUUAACACUCCACUGUGUUUGCACUUAACACUUUGUCAUUGUAUGUCUGUCUUCCCAGAAAACAGAAUUUUUUAAAAGCAGAAACCCAUAUUGUUUACCUUUAUGUUUCCCUAAUAGUAUCUGGCCUGCAAUAGCCCAUGUUUGUGAAUAAACAACUUACCUUGUGACCUUGCCAGCCCAUCACAGCUCUCUCUCAGGAAGUGAGUAACACCAAACCACCGAUAUAACGGACAAAACUUCUCCUGGGCAGAGAGCUGCUCAUCUGGGCAGGGACCGCCAGGAGAGCACCGGCCUACUGCAGGGUCACCCCCCCUCGCCCAUGAAGCCAUGCCAAAGACCUGCCUUCUCUUCUUCCUCACCAUCUUCUGCACAGGGGUCUCAUUGGAUAUAAUUUUGGAACCGGAUACCAAAGCACUGACUGUCCUCAUUGGGGAGGCUGCUACCUUCCGUUGCAGUGUAACAGGAGGGGACCUGAAGAACUAUCAAAUAAGCUGGUAUAAGAAGAGUGAAGAUAACUCUCUGAUUUUGGUCUCCAAACUAAGCAACAAUUCUAAUGACAAUUUAGGGAAUAAUUUCAAGGUUCUACCUGAGGACCAGCACACCUCCACAGUCUUCCAGCGAGCAGAACAAAUCAAAGAGGAUUUCCAGAGACAGCAAUAACUUUACAUUCCACCCACUGCUCUCCCUGGGGUAGCAAAUCUUCACUGUGAAAUCUGCAAUUCCAGGAGAGCAGAAAGCAAUCUAUCUCCCUCCAAAAACAAGUGGCCAUUUCAGGGAACUGGACACAUUU
RNAcentral lists this long non-coding RNA (1086 nucleotides) under Rhinopithecus bieti (black snub-nosed monkey). Its description in RNAcentral is "lncRNA (ENSRBIG00000045377.1)". Lineage: Eukaryota; Metazoa; Chordata; Mammalia; Primates; Cercopithecidae. The record is from RNAcentral.